Long non-coding RNA from Peromyscus leucopus (white-footed mouse), 733 nucleotides. RefSeq lists it as uncharacterized. The transcript is spliced from 4 exons. The record is from RefSeq and is a predicted model, not a curated record. NCBI's taxonomy places the organism in Eukaryota, Metazoa, Chordata, Mammalia, Rodentia, Cricetidae.
GGAGGGCUGAGUCGGGGUUUAUUCUUAGCCGGGCUACCAUGUUAUUAGCUGAAGUCUCCAGAAGCAGCGCAUGGCCAGUAGCCUUGCGCGGGUAACUGUAAGAGGAUUUAGCAAUCAGAUGACUUCAGAGAAAGACAGAAGGCAAACCCAGGCGUGUGGCCAGGUGGUUGUGCAGUACUGGAGGAAGAACAUUUGAGUUAAUAUUGAAAUGCUUAUUGUGAAACACCAGGAGGAUAAGCCGUUCCAUUUCCUUGAGUCACUUCAUUCUAAUUUGUACAGAUUGUGUCGAGUUGACAGAAGACUAGCCAGCAUAAUAUAGAAUCGUCUCAAAUCUCAAGGAACAUGCCUCAGAAUAGGCCUGUGUAUUUGAAUAUUUAGUCUGCAGAUGAUAGUGCUGUUUGGGGAAGCUUUGGAACCUUUGGGACUGUGGCCUAGCUAGCAGAAGUGGAUCACUGGAGGAACACCUAAAGGCCAUAUCUGCUUCUGAUUAUGGCCUGAGCCCUCUUUUUUCCUGAUCUGCCAAGGUGUGACCAAGCCACACUGCAAUCUCUCUCUACCAUGGACCAAGCUCUUCCAGUCCCCACCAUAAUGGACUGCCCCCUCUGAGACAGUGAGCCAGACUGAAUCUUACUGGGAGUGCUUCAUUCAGGUAUUUGUCACAGCAUGUGAAAAGCUGUCAUCAAAGCAAUGAACUAAUGCUAAGAAGUUUGGGAUGCUUCCAAGUACUCCAAAU